Molecule: long non-coding RNA, 966 nt
Organism: Triticum aestivum (bread wheat)
Lineage: Eukaryota; Viridiplantae; Streptophyta; Magnoliopsida; Poales; Poaceae
Exons: 2
Source: RefSeq, a predicted model, not a curated record
GCAGCGUUUCAUGGCUUGCGGCGUCAGACGCGCGACGAGUACGACGUGCUAGACAUCGCCGUUCAUGCCAUAGUCUGCGGCCGCGGUGACGGAGCAUGCACUGUUGGACAACAUGUCCGGGCCGGCUGCUAGCAGGCGAUGUGGGUCUCGACGGCCUUCUGCGGCUCACCGACGAGGCGUUCCGACGGGCAGAAGUCAAGGUAACAAAAAGAAAUGUACAUUCUUGUAUAGCACUGGCCUUAACAGGUCAGCUACGAGUUUAUCGAUAUGGCCAUCGGACGAGACUACACAACACUGUGUAAACAUGGGUAAUCAUUGAUAACAAAGCAACCAGGCAUCCAUGAGCUCUACAAAUAAACGUUCACCGGCAAUGCAGCAACAAGACUGGAUGAAUAAGAGGAAAGUGCCGCUGAGGCCGCGCCUGGUUACCUCUGUAACAACGACAUCAUAGGCAUUAACGGUUAUAACUUUGAAGCUCUAGAUGCAGAAAAAACAGAACUUCAAUAAGAGCCCAAGAACUCAGGCGAACCAAGCAGCAGUAUCAGUUUAACAUGGCACGUCAACAAGUUACUUCCCAUCGAGAAGAAUUCACAGGGCAGAUAAAUAUGUCAUAAAAAAAUGUGACAAUAUUUCCGACAUCUUACCUCUCUACGUGUAUCUGCAUCGCCAAUCACUGAUGACCCAAUAACCGCGUACACCGGUCCAUGUCCGUUAAAGAAUCGCAUCCGACAAAUUUUCCCAAGCACUGGCACUAAUCCAGCAGGAGGACGCAACAGGGCGUUGUAGAACUGUGAAUUUGGUAUCAAGACAAAAAAUAUAUUUUUUGUUCAUGCAAUAUGCUAUAUGUACUUAAACUAUGUUCUUUCUAUACUAAGCACGAUUUAUCGUCAGUGCAGUUUUUACAUCUCCAUAUCGAUCAUGUAUUCCAUUGUUAUUCUCUUUCAAAUAACAUAGCUUUUGUCUUUA